Molecule: unclassified non-coding RNA, 1315 nt
Filed under: Hevea brasiliensis (rubber tree)
Lineage: Eukaryota; Viridiplantae; Streptophyta; Magnoliopsida; Malpighiales; Euphorbiaceae
Source: RNAcentral
CGAUUUUUAAAUAAAUUUAAUAAAUUUACAAAUUACACUAAAAACUUUAUCACCCUAAAAAAUUAGCUACUUCAAUCAAAUCCAAGUUGACAGGACUCUGAAACGAGCCUCGAAAAGCAUUAGAAUGCCAAGAUCCUUGCUCAAUACUAAUGAUGUUUGGGCAAAACAGCCGGGGGAUAGCACGUUACAAUCCUUUUUUUUUUUUCCUUUGAAAUUAAUCUACAGGCUACAGUCCACUUAAAGACGAUUCACUUUGUGUUAUGAUAGAACCAAGCUCCAGAUGCACGGUAGGAGCAGAUUUAUCUGAAAUUACCAGAACAUUCCAACGAGCGCAGCAACUUCGAGCAUCAUCAUAUUCAUGUCUUCUUGGAUCUUGGUUAUCAAUUAUGAAUCUCUCUUGACGGCUCUGGCAAACCACAAUUUUGCUUUAUUUAUAUUGGAAAACCCAAAACAUUUCAUAAUAUGAACAAUCAAACAUCCAACAGACUUCGAAGUAAAUCAUCAUAAGCUGAAAAUACCAAAGCAGUUCCACAAAAAUGAAACUCAGUAAGCCUCAAAGAAAGUGUUCAACAAAAGUAGCAAAAAACAAUUGUAUCAAAAUAGGCAAAUCUUACAAUAGAAAAUAAAAUUUGGAUGAUAGAAACGACAAACUGUGUCAAAAAGAUCAACGGUAGCGUCGGAGAGAAAGUGUGUUGUUCCUCUUCCAGGUUGCCCUUCUUGAAGGUCUUGCUUUGUGGUGCAAGUGCCCCUUGCCACGCAGACCUCUAUACUUCUUCCCUGCAGAAGUAAGCCCACGAAGCUCCCUGUGCUUGUGGACAGGAUUGCAGAUCCAGUUGAUCCUUGGAUCAUUGCGGAUAGCAUUGUGUGCAGGAUCAACCAAGAUUACCUCAUAGUACUUAUAUGUUGAAUCCUCAUUGAGCCAAUAAGAGUUGAGAACCUUAAGGCCACCAAGCUUCCUACCAGCACGCUCCUCUGCAACUGAGCGCUUGCUGCGUUGGAACUUCAGCUGAGUAACACCCUGAUUUGUGGGUUUCCCAUACACAAUACCCUUGGGCACUGGUCUCUUCCUUCCACCACGCCUCACACGCACACGAUAUAUCACAUAACCCUGCUUGGCCUUGUAACCCAAGCGGCGAGCCUUGUCAGGGCGGGUGGGGUGCGUGACACGCACAAUGGAAGGAUGCUGGCGAUACUCCCAGCACCUCACCCUCUGCAGGAACCUCAUCACAUCCGAUUGUUUCUUCCUCCAUAGCUCCGACACGUACUUGUACGCACCCAUUAUUUUUUCUUUGAGAUUCCUUUGCUCUCUGGUUUC